This 566-nucleotide ribosomal RNA is filed under the name uncultured bacterium. Its description in RNAcentral is "bacterial SSU rRNA". It matches the Rfam family "Bacterial small subunit ribosomal RNA", at positions 337 to 899 of the family's 1533-position model. The record is from RNAcentral.
UCCUACGGGAGGCAGCAGUAGGGAAUCUUCGGCAAUGGGCGAAAGCCUGACCGAGCAACGCCGCGUGAGUGAGGAAGGCCUUCGGGUUGUAAAACUCUGUUGUUUGGGAAGAAGGGAAAGGGUAGGACCCUUAGGUGACGGUACCAAACGAGAAAGCCCCGGCUAACUACGUGCCAGCAGCCGCGGUAAUACGUAGGGGGCGAGCGUUGUCCGGAAUGAUUGGGCGUAAAGCGCGCGCAGGCGGUCCUUUAAGUCUGAUGUAAAAGCCCGCGGCCUAACCGCGGAAGGUCAUUGGAAACUGGGGGACUUGAGGCUAGGAGAGGGAAGUGGAAUUCCUGGUGUAGCGGUGAAAUGCGUAGAGAUCAGGAGGAAUACCGAUGGCGAAAGCAACUUCCUGGCUUAGAACUGACGCUGAGGCGCGAAAGCGUGGGGAGCAAAUAGGAUUAGAUACCCUGGUAGUCCACGCUGUAAACGAUGAGUGCUAGGUGUGAGGGGUUUCAACACCUUUCGUGCCGCAGUUAACACAAUAAGCACUCCGCCUGGGGAGUACGGUCGCAAGACUGAAA